Molecule: ribosomal RNA, 942 nt
Filed under: marine metagenome
Description: bacterial SSU rRNA
Rfam family: Bacterial small subunit ribosomal RNA
Source: RNAcentral
AGAGUUUGAUCCUGGCUCAGAACGAACGUUGGCGGCGUGGAUUAGGCAUGCAAGUCGAGCGGGAUCAAUUUUUUUCAAUCUUUCGGGAAAGAAAUUUAUUGUGAGAGCGGCGAACGGGUGAGUAAUAUAUGGGUAAUUUACCUCUUUGUUUGGGAUAGCCAUCGGAAACGAUGAUUAAUACCGGAUGUGUUCAGAAACUGCAUAGUUUCUUAUAUAAAGGCGGGGAUCUUCGGACCUGUCGCAAAGAGAUAAGCCCAUAUCCUAUCAGCUUGUUGGUGAGGUAAUGGCUCACCAAGGCUUACGGGUAGCUGGUCUGAGAGGAUGGUCAGCCACACUGGGACUGAGACACUGCCCAGACUCCUACGGGAGGCUGCAGUCGAGAAUCAUUGUCAAUGCACGAAAGUGUGAACAUGCGACGCCGCGUGGAGGAUGACGGCCUUAGGGUUGUAAACUCCUGUCAGCAGGAAGGAAUAAUUAAAUAAUUAAUACCUAUUUAAUUUGACAGUACCUGCAGAGGAAGUCACGGCUAACUCUGUGCCAGCAGCCGCGGUAAUACAGAGGUGGCGAACGUUGUUCGGAUUUACUGGGCGUAAAGGGUCCGUAGGCGGUCUGGUGUGUCGGAUGUGAAAGCUCACAGCUCAACUGUGGAAUUGCAUUCGAAACUGCUAGACUAGAGUACUGGAGGGGUGAAGGGAACACUUGGUGUAGCGGUGAAAUGCGUAGAUAUCAAGUGGAACACCGGAGGCGAAGGCGCUUCACUGGACAGAUACUGACGCUCAUGGACGAAAGUUAGGGUAGCGAAAGGGAUUAGAUACCCCUGUAGUCCUAACCGUAAACGGUGUGCACUAGGCGUGGGAGGCUUUACCCCCUUCCGUGUCUGAGCUAACGCAUUAAGUGCACCGCCUGGGGAGUACGGUCGCAAGAUUAAAACUCAAAGGAAUU